Molecule: ribosomal RNA, 253 nt
Filed under: uncultured bacterium
Lineage: Bacteria
Description: partial 16S ribosomal RNA
Rfam family: Bacterial small subunit ribosomal RNA
Source: RNAcentral
UACGGAGGGUGCAAGCGUUAAUCGGAUUUACUGGGCGUAAAGCGCGCGUAGGCGGUUUGUUAAGUCGGAUGUGAAAUCCCUGGGCUCAACCUGGGCACUGCAUUCGAUACUGGCAGGCUAGAGUACGAUAGAGGGUGGUAGAAUUCCUGGUGUAGCGGUGAAAUGCGUAGAUAUCAGGAGGAAUAUCGGUGGCGAAGGCGGCCACCUGGGUCGAUACUGACGCUGAGGUGCGAAAGCGUGGGGAGCAAACAGG